RNAcentral lists this ribosomal RNA (618 nucleotides) under Calycanthus occidentalis (western sweetshrub). RNAcentral's name for it is "eukaryotic LSU rRNA". The stretch from base 209 to 365 matches the Rfam family "5.8S ribosomal RNA". The record is from RNAcentral. Lineage: Eukaryota; Viridiplantae; Streptophyta; Magnoliopsida; Laurales; Calycanthaceae.
UCGACCGACCCGCGAACCGAUAUCAGUUUGACCGCCUCUGCCCUGCUGUGCCUCUAGGUGCGGUCGGGUGGCAGACCUCUCUUAACAGAGCAACUCCCGGCGCCCAGCGCGCCAAGGAACUGUAGUCAAUCGGAACGGACUGAGUGGUCGACCCCGACGGGGCGCGCCCGCUUCGCAACCGAACCAAACAUCACACAUGCUCACGUACGACUCUCGGCAAUGAAUAUGUCAACUCUCGCAUCGAUGAAGAACGUAGCGAAAUGCGAUACUUUGUGUGAAUUGCAGAAUCUUGUGAAACCAUCGAGUCUUUGAACGGGAGUUGCGCCCAAGGCCGUCGGGCCGAGGGCACGCCUGCCUGGGCGUCAUGCCACCCAUCGCUCACCGCAUUCAACCCAGAGGGUGACGCGGAGAUUGGCCACUCGUGCCGGAGACAAUCUCUGUGAGCGGUGGGCCCAUAUGCAGGAAUUUUGUGCGGUUGGACGCGACGAGUGGUGUCCCGGAGCAAUACUGCAGACGCCGCGCCUUCCCAUGCCCCACUACGUGGAAUGAGAGUGGCACGGAUUGCAGGCUACCGAUGCGACGUGAGCGGAUCGGCGUGCCGGCUCCCAAAAAAUUAGC